Molecule: ribosomal RNA, 253 nt
Filed under: uncultured bacterium
Lineage: Bacteria
Description: partial 16S ribosomal RNA
Rfam family: Bacterial small subunit ribosomal RNA
Source: RNAcentral
UACGGAGGGGGCUAGCGUUUUUCGGAAUUACUGGGCGUAAAGCGCACGUAGGCGGACUAUUAAGUCGGGGGUGAAAUCCCGGGGCUCAACCUCGGAACUGCCUUUGAUACUGCAAGUCUUGAGUCCGGAAGAGGUGAGUGGAAUUCCUAGUGUAGAGGUGAAAUUCGUAGAUAUUAGGAGGAACACCAGUGGCGAAGGCGGCUCACUGGUCCGGUACUGACGCUGAGGUGCGAAAGCGUGGGGAGCAAACAGG